This 1330-nucleotide ribosomal RNA is filed under the name Lacticaseibacillus rhamnosus. Its description in RNAcentral is "bacterial SSU rRNA". It matches the Rfam family "Bacterial small subunit ribosomal RNA", at positions 62 to 1381 of the family's 1533-position model. The record is from RNAcentral. Lineage: Bacteria; Bacillati; Bacillota; Bacilli; Lactobacillales; Lactobacillaceae.
CCUUUCUGGGAAUUUUUUAAUCUUUUGAACGAGUGGCGGACGGGUGAGUAACACGUGGGUAACCUGCCCUUAAGUGGGGGAUAACAUUUGGAAACAGAUGCUAAUACCGCAUAAAUCCAAGAACCGCAUGGUUCUUGGCUGAAAGAUGGCGUAAGCUAUCGCUUUUGGAUGGACCCGCGGCGUAUUAGCUAGUUGGUGAGGUAACGGCUCACCAAGGCAAUGAUACGUAGCCGAACUGAGAGGUUGAUCGGCCACAUUGGGACUGAGACACGGCCCAAACUCCUACGGGAGGCAGCAGUAGGGAAUCUUCCACAAUGGACGCAAGUCUGAUGGAGCAACGCCGCGUGAGUGAAGAAGGCUUUCGGGUCGUAAAACUCUGUUGUUGGAGAAGAAUGGUCGGCAGAGUAACUGUUGUCGGCGUGACGGUAUCCAACCAGAAAGCCACGGCUAACUACGUGCCAGCAGCCGCGGUAAUACGUAGGUGGCAAGCGUUAUCCGGAUUUAUUGGGCGUAAAGCGAGCGCAGGCGGUUUUUUAAGUCUGAUGUGAAAGCCCUCGGCUUAACCGAGGAAGUGCAUCGGAAACUGGGAAACUUGAGUGCAGAAGAGGACAGUGGAACUCCAUGUGUAGCGGUGAAAUGCGUAGAUAUAUGGAAGAACACCAGUGGCGAAGGCGGCUGUCUGGUCUGUAACUGACGCUGAGGCUCGAAAGCAUGGGUAGCGAACAGGAUUAGAUACCCUGGUAGUCCAUGCCGUAAACGAUGAAUGCUAGGUGUUGGAGGGUUUCCGCCCUUCAGUGCCGCAGCUAACGCAUUAAGCAUUCCGCCUGGGGAGUACGACCGCAAGGUUGAAACUCAAAGGAAUUGACGGGGGCCCGCACAAGCGGUGGAGCAUGUGGUUUAAUUCGAAGCAACGCGAAGAACCUUACCAGGUCUUGACAUCUUUUGAUCACCUGAGAGAUCAGGUUUCCCCUUCGGGGGCAAAAUGACAGGUGGUGCAUGGUUGUCGUCAGCUCGUGUCGUGAGAUGUUGGGUUAAGUCCCGCAACGAGCGCAACCCUUAUGACUAGUUGCCAGCAUUUAGUUGGGCACUCUAGUAAGACUGCCGGUGACAAACCGGAGGAAGGUGGGGAUGACGUCAAAUCAUCAUGCCCCUUAUGACCUGGGCUACACACGUGCUACAAUGGAUGGUACAACGAGUUGCGAGACCGCGAGGUCAAGCUAAUCUCUUAAAGCCAUUCUCAGUUCGGACUGUAGGCUGCAACUCGCCUACACGAAGUCGGAAUCGCUAGUAAUCGCGGAUCAGCCACGCCGCGGUGGAAAUUAACGGGUUG